Molecule: long non-coding RNA, 1259 nt
Organism: Capsicum annuum
Lineage: Eukaryota; Viridiplantae; Streptophyta; Magnoliopsida; Solanales; Solanaceae
Exons: 3
Source: RefSeq, a predicted model, not a curated record
UGAUUUUUGUUUUUUCAUUUUGUGGCCCUCACCAUGUCAAACGAUAUUGUUUGUAUUGAUAGAAAAGAAAUGUUUGUAUGUAGGUGUAGCACAUGCGUGUCUUUCAUGUCUAUUGAAAGUUUUUCCUUUUGAUCAACUUAAUCAGAGUUAGUGGCUAUCUUGAUGUUUAUAUCUUUAACGACUUUACCUAGUUUUCUUCUUACAGAAUGCUCCAUUAACAGAGCAACAGCAGACAGCCAUACAAGCACUUUCCCAUGCAGUUGCUGAGAGACCUUUCCCGUCUAAUUUGGAUCAAAUUUCUGGACACGAUAAUAGUCUGUGUGUCUCUACAAAGCUCAGUUCUCUGGAGGAUUCAUGGGCCAUUGAAGCAGUCCUAGUGAAUACAAAUCAGGUUGAUGACCAUAGUGGCUGUUUAUGGCCUUUACCUGCUUGAGUGGAGCAGUAUUUAUGUCCACAUAUCAGAAAGACAUGCAAAGCAACUUGUUCUAGAACUCUCCUCCAUAUUUGAACUUUAGUUGGUCUUCUACUUUCCAUGCCACGGAGUAUGUUUUCGUUUCUUAAUUUGUAUGCAUGUGAAAUGAUAGAGAUAGCUCUAGAAGUUCUUUUCUUUUUCUCCUUUUGUUUUAUUCUGUCUUUGGUAAACAGAUUUUCCGAAUCAUUAUAAAAUUAUUUACCUUAUCACCAAAAAGUUCUCUUUCAAAGGCAUCCAAUAAAUUUAUCCUCACAAGAACCUUGUCGGUGCACAAAAAAGUAACUAUAGGAGGUUAUUUCUCAACUGUGCGCAAUCAUUAUCCACCCCCUUCAAAAGGCCUCUUACUUCUCUCUUUCCAAAGAACCACAUGGAGCUACAUCUCAUGUGGAGGCCCUCCGCACCCACACCCAAAACACACACACAUCACACAUCACACAAAGCUAGUCACACGAUGAAGGUAUGGUUUUCCAUAUGUGUCUCUUUCCUUUCCCCACGCCUUUUCCUGUUCAGCAAAGUUAAAUUCCUUCAUGGAUCUUGGCAAUUGGCAUGAUUCUCUUUACUUCAAAAAUGUUAAAAGUAACUGUCACAACUGCCAGGCUAUUGGACAGUGUAAUAGGAGUUAGUUAACAUACUCGGACUCCAUUUCACACAUGUUGCACUUUCUGCAUAUAGUCAGGCCUCUUUGUUGAAAGAAUUGCUCUGUUAAUAUUGCUCCAUGUGUCAUUGUCCAGCAGAAUCAAGCCACUUAAUAAGGAGCUUUAGUUAAUUUGUUUGCAUGGAAACCUUU